RNAcentral lists this long non-coding RNA (419 nucleotides) under Pavo cristatus (Indian peafowl). RNAcentral describes it as "lncRNA (ENSPSTG00000012470.1)". The record is from RNAcentral. Lineage: Eukaryota; Metazoa; Chordata; Aves; Galliformes; Phasianidae.
AAUAACUGUAGCCACAUAAUGAAAAUGGAAGUGCACCAUGAUGUGAAAAUCAAUUGAGGAGGCUUGGAAUAUUGCUACUGAAACAUCUACACCUUGACAUUUUUUGAGGCAUCACUGAUCACUCGUCCUCUGUCUUUAGAACACAGCAGAUGGCUUCUCAUGGCUGGGCAUCCUGAUGCCACAGCAUUUCACCAUGGUAGUUGUGAUGUCAACUGUAAUGGAAAAUGUUAAGGAAGGUGUUACAACAUCCUCAUUUCCUUGGGCACCAGCCCUGCAGUUAUCUCCUUGGAAAACGUCAAAUUUGUCCUGGAAUGAGGAGCACAUCUGGAGAAGGAAUUGAGAGGAGGGAUAUGAUUAAAUGGUACCAGUACCUUACAGCAAAAUCACACUAUGGAUUUUUUGGACUAAAUUCAGAAUGA